UACGGAGGGGGCUAGCGUUAUUCGGAAUCACUGGGCGUAAAGCGCGCGUAGGCGGACCAUUAAGUCGUGGGUGAAAUCCCGGGGCUCAACCCCGGAACGGCCUUCGAUACUGGCGGUCUGGAGGUCGAGAGAGGCGAGUGGAAUUCCGAGUGUAGAGGUGAAAUUCGUAGAUAUUCGGAGGAACACCAGUGGCGAAGGCGGCUCGCUGGCUCGAUUCUGACGCUGAGGCGCGAAAGCGUGGGGAGCAAACAGG
This 253-nucleotide ribosomal RNA is filed under the name uncultured bacterium. Its description in RNAcentral is "partial 16S ribosomal RNA". It matches the Rfam family "Bacterial small subunit ribosomal RNA", at positions 524 to 776 of the family's 1533-position model. The record is from RNAcentral.